GGGGCCUCUGGAGCCAGUCUUCCCAAGGUGAAAUCCUAACUUUGCCACUUACUAGCCAUGUGAACUUGGGCAAGUGACCUAAUCCUCUGCAUUUCAUCUCUAAAUUGGGGAGAAUAGAAGCAUCUACUUCAUGUAGUAGCCAGGAUUAGAAGAGGGAGGAAUAACUGGGCCCUGGAUAGAAUGUGAUGAAUGAAUAUUCUUAAUGAGAAGUGGAAAUAAUUUGUGGUUGAGAGCUGUGCCUCAGAUCAGAGUGACAGGAUACAUGGCUAGGCUAUAUUUUCCAGCAGAUUAAGAGCUGCAGCCCAAGACUCUGAAAUAUGAAGAAAAAAGGAGAAGAUGACAGCAUAUCUUUUUAAAGAAAUAUUUUCCAGCCAAAUGGUGCAGCAGAGGACUUCCAGGAAUUUGUUCUUGUUCUGUAUCAAAGGUGAAGAGUUCGUAGCCUUCAAGGAAACAAGAAACCAUGGGAUGGAGUGAAGGAAGGUGGCCUGGAACCAGCUGCUGAGCCUCUCUGAGCCCCAGUUUCCUCAUCUCUAAAAUGGGGCUGAUCUCCUCUCCCUCAGACUGUUGUUGCAGGAAUUAAAACAGGUGUUGAGUGGGAAAGCAUCAGUCCCAUAGCAAAUGGCCCC
Molecule: long non-coding RNA, 626 nt
Filed under: Pan troglodytes (chimpanzee)
Lineage: Eukaryota; Metazoa; Chordata; Mammalia; Primates; Hominidae
Description: lincRNA
Source: RNAcentral